Molecule: long non-coding RNA, 1605 nt
Organism: Engraulis encrasicolus (European anchovy)
Lineage: Eukaryota; Metazoa; Chordata; Actinopteri; Clupeiformes; Engraulidae
Exons: 8
Source: RefSeq, a predicted model, not a curated record
GUUAUAGUUAGCCAAUUUCUCUCUUUCACGAGCAGGGAUUUGUUGCUUUGUUGACGCUACAGGGAAGUUUCCUGGUUUAAAGAAAGUUGUGGCUAGAGAGCUCUAUAGGCAAUAAGGCAACAGCUACUUCAACAAGCUAUGCAUGAUAGCUGAUAUCAGCCGCAAAUCGUGCGUGUGUUGUCCCAGAGACCGUUUAGUUCUAGUGUGACUGUGUGAUAUUGUACUCUGUAGUAUGUGCAGUAUUUCCGAAGACUGGUUGGUUUAUAUUUUUGUUAAUGUAAAUGAAAUAUGUAAAGUUGUUGUGUGCACUACAGUAGUGAGACAAAAGCCUUUCAUAUAUUUAGGUUGCCUGUAUGUUUUGAAGGUGUGUCUGCAAAGCUCUGUAACGUUUUGUCUGUUUUUUUUUUUUUUAAAUCUCUUAUGCUCUGGAUAAGAUGGACGUCUUUCCUCUGACCUGUUACCAAGACAGCUGGAUGUGUAAGAAGCUGGAACUAAGUCACUGAAGAAGUAAACCGAUGAAAACCGAUUUGGAUUGUCUGAGAGAUGACACAAGUAAAAGGAGAAGAAUGCUGCUCAGCUGGGUUGGCGAAGCUCUUGGAUAUCAUCAGCACAUGUAUGAAGCACAGAGUCAUUCCGGUAGGCACAGAGUCGUUCCUCGAUGGACGUGAUGACCUGGCACCAAAACCGCUUAAUGUGUAUGAAGCUGUCUGCAUCGAGGGAAGAACCCAGCACUGAAAUGACACAAAUGAAAGAAGAGUACUUCUGCUCUGCUGGGUCUGCGACACUACUUAUCCGAGGAGUCCUCAAACAUCAGGAUGUAGGAAGACACAAGUAAAAGGAGAAGAAUGCUGCUCAGCUGAGUCGGCGGUCACACUACUUAUUCAAGAAGCUCUUGGAUAUCAUCGGCAUGUGUGAAGCACAGUCAUUCCGGUAGGCACGGAGUCGUUCCUCGAUGGACGUGAUGACCUGGCACCAAAACCACUUAAUGUGUAUGAAGCUGUGUCUGCAUCGAGGGAAGAACCCAGCACUGAAAUGACACAAAUGAAAGAGGACGUCUUCUCUGCUGGGUCUGCGACACUACUUAUCCUAGGAAUCCUCAAACAUCAGGAUGUAGGAAACUUAUGGUGAGAUGCCAAGAACCGCCAUGAGGGAUAUGCAACCUGCAGCUUCACCAUGCUUUUGGGAGAUCAUGUACUACGUGAACCUUGAGUAUCUACAAGCCAGCUACUUUAAGUCCUUGAAAGGGUAGUGAUGUCAUUCAAGCCAGAUCACGAGACAAGGUCCUGUACAAACUGUCAAUCUAAGUGUUGCGACAUCCCUGUCAGUUCUUUUGGACUGAAUACAUGCUGUGUUUGAAAUGUAUUAUUCGGAUAACCUCCCAUCAGGGAAUACCUUGUCUGUUAAUGACGGAUGGACAUGCCAUUGACAUGCAGUGCACACUUUGAUGUUUUUUAUUGUAAUGUUUUCUAGGUUUUUCCGAUGUUCUUUUUUAUUUAUGUUCUGUUAUAUGCUGGUUAUGUAAGUACUGUAUGGAAUGUAGUGACUGUGGAGCCCAAGACGAAUUUCAACCUGGGGACAAAAAGUUCACUCCACUCUGUUAGCGCA